AAGGAUCAUUACAGAGUUCAUGCCCUCACGGGUAGAUCUCCCACCCUUGAAUACUAUACCUUUGUUGCUUUGGCGGGCCGCCUCGGCUACCGGCUUCGGCUGGUGAGUGCUCGCCAGAGAACCCAAAACUCUGAAUUACAGUGUCGUCUGAGUACUAUAUAAUAGUUAAAACUUUCAACAACGGAUCUCUUGGUUCUG
This 198-nucleotide unclassified non-coding RNA is filed under the name uncultured fungus. Its description in RNAcentral is "partial contains 18S rRNA, ITS1, 5.8S rRNA, ITS2 and 28S rRNA". The record is from RNAcentral. Lineage: Eukaryota; Fungi.